AGCAGCCGCGGUAAUUCCAGCUCCAAUAGCGUAUAUUAAAGUUGUUGCAGUUAAAAAGCUCGUAGUUGAAUUUCGGGAUCAAUUAAUUGGUCGUGCCUCUGGUACGUACUGAUUUUAUUGGUUUCUCCCUUCUGACGAACCAUGAUGUCAUUAAUUUGAUGUCGUGGAGAAUCAGGACUGUUACUUUGAAAAAAUUAGAGUGUUUAAAGCAAGCUAACGCUUGAAUACAUUAGCAUGGAAUAAUGAAAUAGGACGUUUGAUCCUAUUUUGUUGGUUUCUAGGAUCGACGUAAUGAUUAAUAGGGAUAGUUGGGGGCAUUAGUAUUCAAUUGUCAGAGGUGAAAUUCUUGGAUUUAUUGAAGACUAACUACUGCGAAAGCAUUUGCCAAGGAUGUUUUCAUUAAUCAAGAACGAAAGUUAGGGGAUCGAAGACGAUCAGAUACUGUCGUAGUCUUAACCAUAAACUAUGCCGACUAGGGAUCGGAUGAUGUUAAUUUUUAAUGA
RNAcentral lists this ribosomal RNA (503 nucleotides) under uncultured Glomus. RNAcentral describes it as "SSU rRNA". It matches the Rfam family "Eukaryotic small subunit ribosomal RNA", at positions 569 to 1074 of the family's 1831-position model. Lineage: Eukaryota; Fungi; Glomeromycota; Glomeromycetes; Glomerales; Glomeraceae. The record is from RNAcentral.